CCUACGGGAGGCAGCAGUGAGGAAUAUUGGUCAAUGGACGAGAGUCUGAACCAGCCAAGUAGCGUGAAGGAUGACUGCCCUAUGGGUUGUAAACUUCUUUUAUAUGGGAAUAAAAUGUUCCACGUGUGGGAUUUUGUAUGUACCAUAUGAAUAAGGAUCGGCUAACUCCGUGCCAGCAGCCGCGGUAAUACGGAGGAUCCGAGCGUUAUCCGGAUUUAUUGGGUUUAAAGGGAGCGUAGGUGGAUUUUUAAGUCAGUUGUGAAAGUUUGGGGCUCAACCGUAAAAUUGCAGUUGAAACUGGCAGUCUUGAGUACAGUAGAGGUGGGCGGAAUUCGUGGUGUAGCGGUGAAAUGCUUAGAUAUCACGAAGAACUCCGAUUGCGAAGGCAGUUCACUGGACUGCAACUGACACUGAGGCUCGAAAGUGUGGGUAUCAAACAGGAUUAGAUACCCCAGUAGUC
RNAcentral lists this ribosomal RNA (460 nucleotides) under uncultured bacterium. RNAcentral describes it as "partial 16S ribosomal RNA". It matches the Rfam family "Bacterial small subunit ribosomal RNA", at positions 338 to 795 of the family's 1533-position model. The record is from RNAcentral.